This 73-nucleotide transfer RNA is filed under the name bacterium. RNAcentral's name for it is "tRNA-Val". It matches the Rfam family "tRNA". Rfam says of the family: Transfer RNA (tRNA) molecules are approximately 80 nucleotides in length. Their secondary structure includes four short double-helical elements and three loops (D, anti-codon, and T loops). The record is from RNAcentral.
GCGCGGUUAGCUCAGUUGGUAGAGCGCCUCAUUGACGUUGAGGAUGCCGGGGGUUCAAGUCCCUCACCGCGCA